GAUGAACGCUGGCGGCGUGCCUAAUACAUGCAAGUCGAGCGAACGGACGAGAAGCUUGCUUCUCUGAUGUUAGCGGCGGACGGGUGAGUAACACGUGGAUAACCUACCUAUAAGACUGGGAUAACUUCGGGAAACCGUAGCUAAUACCGGAUAAUAUUUUGAACCGCAUGGUUCAAAAGUGAAAGACGGUCUUGCUGUCACUUAUAGAUGGAUCCGCGCUGCAUUAGCUAGUUGGUAAGGUAACGGCUUACCAAGGCAACGAUGCAUAGCCGACCUGAGAGGGUGAUCGGCCACACUGGAACUGAGACACGGUCCAGACUCCUUCGGGAGGCAGCAGUAGGGAAUCUUCCGCAAUGGGCGAAAGCCUGACGGAGCAACGCCGCGUGAGUGAUGAAGGUCUUCGGAUCGUAAAACUCUGUUAUUAGGGAAGAACAUAUGUGUAAGUAACUGUGCACAUCUUGACGGUACCUAAUCAGAAAGCCACGGCUAACUACGUG
Molecule: ribosomal RNA, 497 nt
Filed under: uncultured bacterium
Lineage: Bacteria
Description: partial 16S ribosomal RNA
Rfam family: Bacterial small subunit ribosomal RNA
Source: RNAcentral